UCUGAUGAAGCAAUUACUAGAAGUCUAGAAUAGUAAAAAAAAACUUGCAGGGAAAGCUGUUCUCAGCUUCUGAAUCCAUUCAAGCUAGAGCUCAAGCAGCCGUUCUUUUGAAGCAGUUGGAUUUUCCAGUGGAUAGUUUACACUUUACAGGUAAAACUGCUUGAAAAGUU
Molecule: long non-coding RNA, 170 nt
Organism: Hibiscus syriacus
Lineage: Eukaryota; Viridiplantae; Streptophyta; Magnoliopsida; Malvales; Malvaceae
Exons: 3
Source: RefSeq, a predicted model, not a curated record